UACGGGGGGGGCAAGCGUUGUUCGGAAUUACUGGGCGUAAAGCGCACGUAGGCGGCUUUCUAAGUCGGGGGUGAAAUCCUGGAGCUCAACUCCAGAACUGCCUUUGAUACUGGGAAGCUUGAGUCCGGGAGAGGUGAGUGGAACUCCGAGUGUAGAGGUGAAAUUCGUAGAUAUUCGGAAGAACACCAGUGGCGAAGGCGGCUCACUGGCCCGGUACUGACGCUGAGGUGCGAAAGCGUGGGGAGCAAACAGG
This 253-nucleotide ribosomal RNA is filed under the name uncultured bacterium. RNAcentral's name for it is "partial 16S ribosomal RNA". It matches the Rfam family "Bacterial small subunit ribosomal RNA", at positions 524 to 776 of the family's 1533-position model. The record is from RNAcentral.